CUGGAGCCAAUUUCAAAUGGGACUUGUUUUGCAGGAAUGCAGCUCCGAUGAUCUCCAAUCUGCUCCAGCUAUAUUCGUACGCGGCAACAGAAGAUUCUCGACCGCGUACGGAUAUAGCUAGAGCAAAUCGGAGACCACCAGAACGAUGUUCCUGCAAAAUAAGUUCCGAUCGAAAUUGACUUUGACGAAGAUCUUUCAAUGAUCAGGAAUCUAACACGACA
RNAcentral lists this long non-coding RNA (221 nucleotides) under Elaeis guineensis (African oil palm). RNAcentral's name for it is "long non-coding RNA (EGUI_LNC019273)". The record is from RNAcentral. Lineage: Eukaryota; Viridiplantae; Streptophyta; Magnoliopsida; Arecales; Arecaceae.